This 492-nucleotide ribosomal RNA is filed under the name uncultured bacterium. Its description in RNAcentral is "bacterial SSU rRNA". It matches the Rfam family "Bacterial small subunit ribosomal RNA", at positions 15 to 507 of the family's 1533-position model. The record is from RNAcentral.
GAUCAUGGCUCAGAUUGAACGCUGGCGGAAUGCUUUACACAUGCAAGUCGAACGGUAGAGGGGCAACCCUUGAGAGUGGCGAACGGGUGAGUAAUAUAUCGGAACGUGCCCAGUCGUGGGGAUAACGUAGCGAAAGUUACGCUAAUACCGCAUACGAUCUACGGAUGAAAGCGGGGGACUCGCAAGAGCCUCGCGCGAUUGGAGCGGCCGAUAUCAGAUUAGGUAGUUGGUGGGGUAAAGGCUCACCAAGCCAACGAUCUGUAGCUGGUCUGAGAGGACGACCAGCCACACUGGGACUGAGACACGGCCCAGACUCCUACGGGAGGCAGCAGUGGGGAAUAUUGGACAAUGGGCGAAAGCCUGAUCCAGCCAUGCCGCGUGUGUGAAGAAGGUCUUCGGAUUGUAAAGCACUUUAAGUUGGGAGGAAGGGCAGUAAGUUAAUACCUUGCUGUUUUGACGUUACCAACAGAAUAAGCACCGGCUAACUUCGUG